GUGCCAGCCGCCGCGGUAAUACCGGCAGCCCGAGUGAUGGCCGAUCUUAUUGGGCCUAAAGCGUUCGUAGCUGGCCGGACAAGUCCGUUGGGAAAUCCACGCGCUCAACGCGUGGGCGUCCAGCGGAAACUGUCCGGCUUGGGGCCGGAAGACCCGAGGGGUACGUCCAGGGUAGGAGUGAAAUCCUGUAAUCCUGGACGGACCGCCGGUGGCGAAAGCGCCUCGGGAGGACGGACCCGAUAGUGAGGGACGAAAGCCAGGGUCUCGAACCGGAUUAGAUACCCGAGUAGUCC
RNAcentral lists this ribosomal RNA (293 nucleotides) under uncultured bacterium. Its description in RNAcentral is "partial 16S ribosomal RNA". It matches the Rfam family "Archaeal small subunit ribosomal RNA", at positions 455 to 747 of the family's 1478-position model. The record is from RNAcentral.